GAUGAACGCUGGCGGCGUGCCUAAUACAUGCGAGUCGAGCGAACGGACGAGGAGCUUGCUCCUCUGACGUUAGCGGCGGACGGGUGAGUAACACGUGGAUAACCUACCUAUAAGACUGGGAUAACUUCGGGAAACCGGAGCUAAUACCGGAUAAUAUAUUGAACCGCAUGGUUCAAUAGUGAAAGACGGUUUUGCUGUCACUUAUAGAUGGAUCCGCGCCGCAUUAGCUAGUUGGUAAGGUAACGGCUUACCAAGGCAACGAUGCGUAGCCGACCUGAGAGGGUGAUCGGCCACACUGGAACUGAGACACGGUCCAGACUCCUACGGGAGGCAGCAGUAGGGAAUCUUCCGCAAUGGGCGAAAGCUUGACGGAGCAACGCCGCGUGAGUGGUGAAGGUCUUCGGAUCGUAAAACUCUGUUAUUAGGGAAGAACAAAUGUGUAAGUAACUAUGCACGUCUUGACGGUACCUAAUCAGAAAGCCACGGCUAACUACGUG
RNAcentral lists this ribosomal RNA (497 nucleotides) under uncultured bacterium. Its description in RNAcentral is "partial 16S ribosomal RNA". It matches the Rfam family "Bacterial small subunit ribosomal RNA", at positions 28 to 507 of the family's 1533-position model. The record is from RNAcentral.